CUGCAGCCCAAGUGGUGAUCGAUAUUAUUGAGCCUAAAGCGUCCGUAGCCGGUUUGGUAAAUCUUCGAGUAAAUCGAGCAGCUUAACUGUUCGAAUUCCGGAGAGACUGCUAGACUUGGGACCGGGAGAGGUCAGAGGUACUCCAGGGGUAGGGGCUAAAUCCUGUAAUCCUUGGAGGACCACCAGUGGCGAAGGCGUCUGACUAGAACGGAUCCGACGGUAAGGGACGAAACCCUGGGGCGCAAACCGGAUUAGAUACCCGAGUAGUCC
This 270-nucleotide ribosomal RNA is filed under the name uncultured archaeon. RNAcentral describes it as "partial 16S ribosomal RNA". It matches the Rfam family "Archaeal small subunit ribosomal RNA", at positions 477 to 747 of the family's 1478-position model. The record is from RNAcentral.